CCUACGGGGGGCAGCAGUGGGGGAUAUUGCACAAUGGGGGAAACCCUGAUGCAGCGACGCCGCGUGGGCGAAGAAGUAUUUCGGUAUGUAAAGCUCUAUCAGCAGGGAAGAAGAAAUGACGGUACCUGAGUAAUAAGCACUGGCUAAUUACGUGCCAGCAGCCGCGGUAAUACGUAUGGUGCAAGCGUUAUCCGGAUUUACUGGGUGUAAAGGGAGCGCAGGCGGCAAGGCAAGCCUGGAGUGAAAGGCGGGGGCUCAACCCGCGGACUGCUCUGGAAACUGUACGGCUGGAGUGCAGGAGAGGUAAGUGGAAUUCCUAGUGUAGCGGUGAAAUGCGUAGAUAUUAGGAGGAACACCAGUGGCGAAGGCGGCUUACUGGACUGUAACUGACGUUGAGGCUCGAAAGCGUGGGGAGCAAACAGGAUUAGAUACCCUUGUAGUC
This 442-nucleotide ribosomal RNA is filed under the name uncultured bacterium. Its description in RNAcentral is "partial 16S ribosomal RNA". It matches the Rfam family "Bacterial small subunit ribosomal RNA", at positions 338 to 795 of the family's 1533-position model. The record is from RNAcentral.